ACAGCAUCUGCGGUGCGACUCUUGAACUUGCUGUAAAGUAAAACUGCUUCCCGGGCGUGUAGGAGCUGGAGAAUGAAUGGAUUUGUCCUGUGUGCUUCUGUAUAUUUGCCUAGUAGCCGACUGACUUCUGAAGGCGGUUUUCACAGCGGUUUGGCUUUACGUGCCUUUACAUAGCCUUACAUACGUAUAAAUUGUUCCUCUGGCCAUUGCACCUCCUGUUGAUUCAUUGAACAAUUUGUGGGAUGCCUUACUGUAUGUCAGUCACUUCCCUGUAUGAGGAAGAAAAAGAUGAAGCCUAUUCUUGUUCCUGGAAACAUUCGCAGCCCCAUAGAGGAAACAGAAUUGCCAUACAGUAUGACGAAUGCUAAGAAUAACACAAGGGCAUCGAAACCAACUCUAGAGUGAUAUGGGUAGUGGCAUUAUUCCAGUUGGAGAUAUAAAGCAGAGAACCAUCAUUCUCAAAACUGUUCUGAGAGUCAGCAUGUCACCUCUUUCACUCCUCAAGCCUUCAGAAUUCCAAUGCUAAACAUUUCUCUGGCAUCUAAGGAACAAAACGUUCAGGAUAGAAAGGCUGUGAUACUACCCUGCUAGUAUCAAUCCACAUGCACCAGGUCCUGCUGAAGUGUUAAAUAGGUUGAUACAGGGAUGGAAUAAAACAAUAAAGUGUCUGAGAGAACUUCUGAGGAAAUAAUACUGUGCACCGCUUCUAGGGAAGGUGGCCCCUAGCUCUGCAUGACUAACAGCAGCCAUCACAGACACCAUGGCACAAGCAGCCCAAAUACUCAGGGAGACCCCACAUUGAGUGAGUUGUAUUUUAAUGCCCCUUCAGGAGAAACAAAUAUGCCUGUACCUAUUUUGAUACUGAAUAACAAAUUUGUUCCAUGGAAAUGUCCUAUUACUCAUUG
Molecule: long non-coding RNA, 905 nt
Filed under: Homo sapiens (human)
Lineage: Eukaryota; Metazoa; Chordata; Mammalia; Primates; Hominidae
Description: HSALNT0348118
Source: RNAcentral